ACGGCAGGCUUUCAGCCUCCUGAAACAGAUGCUUCCAGCGAAGAUGACUCGGAAGAGAUUUGCAAAUCUUUAUCCAGUAAAACAUCUAUGACUGAUAAAAAAAGUCCUCUAAGUUCUCCAGUAGAAAGUGAUUUAUUCAAUUGUUUCUUGCGUUCUUCGAAAUUAGAAGUGGCCAAAAAAGUUUUGGCUGAGGAAAUUAAUUUAGGGAAAACUUUGUUAGUUAAGCACAACCAAAAAG
Zophobas morio is the source of this 238-nucleotide long non-coding RNA. RefSeq lists it as uncharacterized. The record is from RefSeq and is a predicted model, not a curated record. Lineage: Eukaryota; Metazoa; Arthropoda; Insecta; Coleoptera; Tenebrionidae. The transcript has 4 exons.